GACGAACGCUGGCGGCGUGCUUAACACAUGCAAGUCGAACGGAAAGGCCCUGCUUUUGUGGGGUGCUCGAGUGGCGAACGGGUGAGUAACACGUGAGUAACCUGCCCUUGACUUUGGGAUAACUUCAGGAAACUGGGGCUAAUACCGGAUAGGAGCUCCUGCUGCAUGGUGGGGGUUGGAAAGUUUCGGCGGUUGGGGAUGGACUCGCGGCUUAUCAGCUUGUUGGUGGGGUAGUGGCUUACCAAGGCUUUGACGGGUAGGCGGCCUGAGAGGGUGACCGGCCACAUUGGGACUGAGAGACGGCCCAGACUCCUACGGGAGGCAGCAGUGGGGAAUAUUGCACAAUGGGCGGAAGCCUGAUGCAGCAACGCCGCGUGCGGGAUGACGGCCUUCGGGUUGUAAACCGCUUUCGCCUGUGACGAAGCGUGAGUGACGGUAAUGGGUAAAGAAGCACCGGCUAACUACGUG
This 468-nucleotide ribosomal RNA is filed under the name uncultured bacterium. RNAcentral's name for it is "partial 16S ribosomal RNA". It matches the Rfam family "Bacterial small subunit ribosomal RNA", at positions 28 to 507 of the family's 1533-position model. The record is from RNAcentral.